Long non-coding RNA from Herpailurus yagouaroundi (jaguarundi), 702 nucleotides. RefSeq lists it as uncharacterized. The record is from RefSeq and is a predicted model, not a curated record. NCBI's taxonomy places the organism in Eukaryota, Metazoa, Chordata, Mammalia, Carnivora, Felidae. The transcript has 3 exons.
GAUCAGACAGCUACCCGAAGGCCUGCAAAUGGCCAACCGUGGUGCAGGUGUCUGUCCUAGGUACUGGAACUAGCGACACUGAGCUGUGGGAACUUGCCCCUUGGCCGGAAGACCUAGACGUCAGAGGAACGAGGGUUAUUUGGCCCGGAGACAAUUAGACCUAGAGGAAUUAUUGUACUAAGAAAGUAAUUCCUCUUCUAAGCACUCAUUGCCUGGUGUCUCCGUGCUACGGACGGAGCUCUGACACCUCUGGAAGAUCCUGAAAGAGAAAGAUGACAGAUGAGAAACGUCAGGUCUUCCUACCACCGAGGACUCGUGAGGGGCAUGAUGGAUUUUUGGCAACCAGCCUUCAACCCUAUGAAUGGAAAGUUGGUAGAACUUGUUAGCUCUUGCUUCCGUCUUGGUUCUCCUUUUACCACAGCGGCAAACUGGAGGAAGUAGCCUGAGACUCUGGGCUCAUUUUCCUCCCCUGGGCUCAAGUUGGAGAAAACAACGCUAAUUACAUUUCUAAUGGCAGCAAAUAAAUUUGAAAGUAAAGCUCUUUUGGUAUGUCAAGGUAAGUUUUUUGUCAUACUUAAGGAGCGUGUCACACACUAGUCAUACAUAAGAUCUGGAUCUGUAAUAAUUCGAGUGGGAGUGGGACCAAGGUGUUGGUAUAUAUAUAUUUUUUGUUUAUUUAUUCAUUUUGAGAGAGACAGAGAG